Molecule: ribosomal RNA, 253 nt
Filed under: uncultured bacterium
Lineage: Bacteria
Description: partial 16S ribosomal RNA
Rfam family: Bacterial small subunit ribosomal RNA
Source: RNAcentral
GACGGAGGAUGCAAGUGUUAUCCGGAAUCACUGGGCGUAAAGCGUCUGUAGGUGGUCAAAUAAGUCAACUGUUAAAUCUUGAGGCUCAACUUCAAAGUCGCAGUCGAAACUAUUAGACUAGAGUAUAGUAGGGGUAAAGGGAAUUUCCAGUGGAGCGGUGAAAUGCGUAGAGAUUGGAAAGAACACCGAUGGCGAAGGCACUUUACUGGGCUAUUACUAACACUCAGAGACGAAAGCUAGGGUAGCAAAUGGG